CCUGGCUCAGUUUGUAGCUUAAAUGUACUCCAUUAUUGCCUGUCAUAGUUUGUAUUUCGAGUAUGUUUAGUUUAAUACUACGAACCAGUGAAUUACAGCAGAGAGAGAUCCUGAGCUCAGCUCUUCAGAGAUAAUGAAGAAAAGGUAUUUCUCUCCUUCCAGACACAAAUCUGGUAUGAAUACAGCCUGUAUUCUGCAAGAAACAACAGAAAUUGAUGCAACUACUGUGAGGCUAAUACCAGCUUUUCCUCUGAAGAAAUGAAUGGAUCAUAAAAACAAUUUUGCUAUAAACACUGUUUUCCUAUCUAAUAUACCAAUACAAUGUACAUCAAAGCACGCUAUGCAG
RNAcentral lists this long non-coding RNA (346 nucleotides) under Gallus gallus (chicken). The record is from RNAcentral. Lineage: Eukaryota; Metazoa; Chordata; Aves; Galliformes; Phasianidae.